RNAcentral lists this small nucleolar RNA (69 nucleotides) under Marmota monax (woodchuck). The record is from RNAcentral. Lineage: Eukaryota; Metazoa; Chordata; Mammalia; Rodentia; Sciuridae.
AUCUUUUUAUGGUUCAUGAGCAGUAUGAUUGGGUUUUAAUGCCAUUGUGUGAAAUGUAUCUUCCUGAAA